RNAcentral lists this transfer RNA (74 nucleotides) under Pteropus alecto (black flying fox). It matches the Rfam family "tRNA". Rfam says of the family: Transfer RNA (tRNA) molecules are approximately 80 nucleotides in length. The record is from Rfam by way of RNAcentral. Lineage: Eukaryota; Metazoa; Chordata; Mammalia; Chiroptera; Pteropodidae.
GGUUCCAACAGAGUAGUGGUUAGCACAUCUGCUUUACAUGCAGAAGAUCUUGGGUUCGAGCCCCAGUGGAACCA